UUACGGGAGGCAGCAGUGGGGAAUAUUGCGCAAUGGACGCAAGUCUGACGCAGUAACGCCGCGUGCGGGAAGAAGGCCUUCGGGUCGUAAACCGCUUUUCGGAGGGACGAGUGAGGACGGUACCUUCGGAAUAAGUCUCGGCUAACUACGUGCCAGCAGCCGCGGUAAAACGUAGGAGGCGAGCGUUAUCCGGAUUCACUGGGCGUAAAGCGCGUGUAGGCGGUUCGCCAAGUCGGUUGUGAAAGCCCCUGGCUCAACUGGGGGAGGUCAGCCGAAACUGGGGGACUUGAGGGUCAGAGAGGAAGGUGGAAUUCCCGGUGUAGCGGUGGAAUGCGUAGAGAUCGGGAGGAACACUAGUGGCGAAAGCGGCCUUCUGGCUGACUCCUAACGCUGAGACGCGAAAGCGUGGGUAGCAAACGGGAUCAGAUACCCGAGUAGUC
This 440-nucleotide ribosomal RNA is filed under the name uncultured bacterium. RNAcentral's name for it is "bacterial SSU rRNA". It matches the Rfam family "Bacterial small subunit ribosomal RNA", at positions 339 to 795 of the family's 1533-position model. The record is from RNAcentral.